AUUGAACGCUGGCGGCAGGCCUAACACAUGCAAGUCGAGCGGUAGAGAGGUGCUUGCAUCUCUUGAGAGCGGCGGACGGGUGAGUAAUGCCUAGGAAUCUGCCUAGUGGUGGGGGAUAACGUUCGGAAACGGACGCUAAUACCGCAUACGUCCUACGGGAGAAAGCGGGGGAUCUUCGGACCUCGCGCCAUUAGAUGAGCCUAGGUCGGAUUAGCUAGUUGGUGAGGUAAUGGCUCACCAAGGCGACGAUCCGUAACUGGUCUGAGAGGAUGAUCAGUCACACUGGAACUGAGACACGGUCCAGACUCCUACGGGAGGCAGCAGUGGGGAAUAUUGGACAAUGGGCGAAAGCCUGAUCCAGCCAUGCCGCGUGUGUGAAGAAGGUCUUCGGAUUGUAAAGCACUUUAAGUUGGGAGGUAAGGGUAGUAACCUAAUACGUUGCUACUUUGACGUUACCGACAG
RNAcentral lists this ribosomal RNA (462 nucleotides) under uncultured bacterium. RNAcentral describes it as "bacterial SSU rRNA". It matches the Rfam family "Bacterial small subunit ribosomal RNA", at positions 30 to 484 of the family's 1533-position model. The record is from RNAcentral.